Molecule: ribosomal RNA, 315 nt
Filed under: uncultured eukaryote
Lineage: Eukaryota
Description: partial 18S ribosomal RNA
Rfam family: Eukaryotic small subunit ribosomal RNA
Source: RNAcentral
CCCUUAGACGUUCUGGGCCGCACGCGCGCUACACUGACCAGUGCAACAAGCAUCCGUCCUUGGCCGACAGGCUCGGGCAAUCUUUGAACGCUGGUCGUGAUGGGGAUAGACUUUUGCAAUUUUUGGUCUUCAACGAGGAAUUCCUAGUAAACGCAAGUCAUCAACUUGCAUUGAUUACGUCUCUGCCCUUUGUACACACCGCCCGUCGCACCUACCGAUUGAAUGGUCCGGUGAAGCCUCCGGAUUGGCGCGCACCUCGGUGCCGCCGAGAAGUUGGCUAAACCUUACCAUUUAGAGGAAGGUGAAGUCGUAACA